AUGAAGGCUCCAGACAAGUUUGUACGCUUGUGGAACAAAAGCUAUGAUGACUGCAAAGUGGAGUGCAGCAAAAAUUGCUCAUGUGUAGCAUAUGCUUAUGCUAAUCUAAGCACCAGCAACAUUGAUGGGGAUGCAACAAGGUGCCUGUUGUGGACCGGGGAUCUGAUUGAUGUGGAGAAGGGUGGCACCAUCGGCAAUGAGAACCUGUAUCUGCGGCUUGCUACCUUGUCAAGGAAAGGGCGAAAGAACAUCGUGAUAGAAGUUAUACCAGCAAUUUCAGCAAGUGUGUUGCUGAUACUUCUAUUGGCGUGCCUUGUAUGGUUCUGCAAGUUUAAAGGACAAGGCGGCUUUGGUAAAGUUUACAAGGGGCUCUUACAUGGCAACAAAGAAGUUGCUGUUAAAAGGCUCGGUAGAGGUUCUGGACAGGGAGCAAUAGAGUUUAGGAAUGAAGUAGUCGUGAUUGCUAAACUGCAACACAAAAACCUUGUAAGGCUUGUCUGUUAUUGUGUGCAGGGCGAUGAAAAGCUACUUAUUUAUGAGUAUCUACCAAACAGAAGCCUGGACACCUUCCUUUUCAAUUCUGAAAAGAAGCCAAUGCUUCAUUGGCCAACACGAUUCAGUAUAAUAAAAGGAGUGGCUAGAGGGCUACUCUAUCUCCAUCGAGACUCAAGGCUGAUGAUAAUUCAUAGGGAUCUGAAAACAAGCAACAUUUUGCUAGAUGGAGAUAUGAAUCCCAAGAUAUCUGAUUUUGGCAUGGCAAGAAUCUUUGGUGGAGAUGAGCAACAAGCGAACACUAACCGAGUUGUCGGAACAUACGGUUAUAUGUCUCCGGAAUAUGCAAUGGAAGGCCUCUUUUCUGUCAAGUCCGAUGUCUAUAGCUUUGGGGUCUUGCUCUUGGAAACUGUAAGUGGGAUAAGGAUUAGCUCAACCGAGAACAUCAAGGAGUUCCCCAACCUUAUAAUAUAUGCAUGGAGUCUAUGGAGGGAAGGGCUAGCAAUGGAUUUGGUGGAUCCAUCAGUUUCAGAGAGCUGCUCGAAUGAAGAGGCUUUAUGUUGCAUUCAUGUUGGGCUCUUGUGUGUUCAGGAUGAUCCGGAUGCCAGACCACUCAUGUCAACUGUUGUAUCAACGUUGGAGAGUAGAAGCACACCAGUUGCAACGCCUGAUAAGCCACUGUAUUUUUCUCAGAGGAAUAAGGUAGCAAAGAGAGCAGACUACGGUCAGGACUCUGUGGAUAUGGAAGCCCUUACAGUACUGGAGGGGCGAUAG
RNAcentral lists this ribosomal RNA (1266 nucleotides) under Triticum aestivum (bread wheat). RNAcentral's name for it is "partial small subunit ribosomal RNA". Lineage: Eukaryota; Viridiplantae; Streptophyta; Magnoliopsida; Poales; Poaceae. The record is from RNAcentral.